Molecule: ribosomal RNA, 253 nt
Filed under: uncultured bacterium
Lineage: Bacteria
Description: partial 16S ribosomal RNA
Rfam family: Bacterial small subunit ribosomal RNA
Source: RNAcentral
UACGGAGGGUGCAAGCGUUAUCCGGAUUCACUGGGUUUAAAGGGUGUGUAGGCGGGCCAUUAAGUCUGUGGUGAAAUCUCCGAGCUCAACUCGGAAACUGCCUUGGAUACUAUUGGCCUUGAAUUAUGUUGAGGUUGGCGGAAUAUAACAUGUAGCGGUGAAAUGCAUAGAUAUGUUAUAGAACACCGAUUGCGAAGGCAGCUAACUAAGCAUAUAUUGACGCUGAUGCACGAAAGCGUGGGGAUCAAACAGG